Aotus nancymaae (Ma's night monkey) is the source of this 2677-nucleotide long non-coding RNA. The record is from Ensembl. NCBI's taxonomy places the organism in Eukaryota, Metazoa, Chordata, Mammalia, Primates, Aotidae.
AGAGAAGCUGAGAUCUUCCUCCAGUCUGAACAUUGAGUGGCAUCAAGAUUGCAAAGAAACAAGAAAGGUUCUUAACUGAAAGAAAGACAGUCAAGGAAAAAUAGUCAAAUGGGAAAUUAAAUACAGAAAAGAAAAGAAUAGCUUUGAACCAGGACCGCUGAGCCAGCAUCUGAUACUUCUCAAAGCAGUUUCUCUAACAACAUGGGCUGGUGCGUAGUCUCAAAGCUGAGACAGCUGAGCAGGACUUCCUUGUCUAGUAAAAUGAGUCUACAGGGCAAGCUGAAGGCUCUUGUCCCAUGAGCAAGGAUGACCAAUCUCCUCAAUCCUCCCAGGCACAGCAUAUGGCAUACACUGUCAUUGUUCCUGAUCCCACCCAGUCUCGACACCCUCGCCACCAGCAACUCUGUUCCAAACAGGUAUAUUUUGGAGACAGAGGUGACAGAACUUGCCAAAGGAUUGCACAGAGAAGUGAGAAGAAAGCAGGAGUCAAGAAUGACAUCAGGCAUUUUGGACUCAACAACUAGCAAGUGGUGGUGUCCUCUACUGAGAUGUAGUGAGGAGGAACAGGGAUUGGUGUCUGCAAUUAUGUUAUUUAUUGAGUUAGUUGGAAUUUUCUGGUUCUCCUGCUAAAGUACAUGCUUCACAAAAAUGGAGACUUUUUGUCUUCUUGAUACAGUUCACUGCUGCCUAAAAUAAGGCUUGGAAGAAUGAUGGCACUCAAUAAAUAUUCAUUGGAUGAAUAAACUGCAGGAAAUAAAGGUAAGUGCAAUAGGUGCAGGCGAAGGAUGAGUUUAGGGUGGAGGAAUUAUAGAUUUUUUUUUUUUUUGAGAUGGAGUUUUGCUCUUGUUGCCCAGACUGGAGUACAAUGGCGAGGUCUCAUCUCACUGCAACCUUCACCUCCUGAGUUCAAGUGAUUCUCCUGCCUCAGCCUCCUCGGCACUGGGAUUAUAGGCACCUGCCACCAUGCCUGGCUAAUUUUUGUAUUUUUAAUAGAGACGGGGUUUCACCAUGUUGGCCAUGCUGGUCUCAAACUCCUGACCUCAGGUGAUCCGCUCCCUUCAGCUUCCCAAAGUGCUCAGAUUACAGGCAAGAGCCACCGUGCCAGCUGAGGAAUUACAGUUUAAUUUGGGAAAUGUUCAAUUCAAAAAGCCAAGAAAAGAUCAAAUUGUAGAAAUCAUAUAAGUUGUCAGAUAUUGGAGCUUAGGGAAAAGGUCAAAGCCGAAGAGAAAAAUGUCAGGGGCAUCCAUGUCAGAUUGGUACCUAAAGUCAAGAGGCAAUGGAAUCACCUAGGAAAAGGUCUCUCUGGCGAUCAGAGAGAAAAGCACAGAGGGCCACCGAUAUUUAAAGAUCUGGAAAAGAAUGAAGAGCCAGCAAAGGGAACUAGGAAGGAGUCCAGGGCUAUUCAGGAAAGCAAAUGAAGAGACAUCAUUGUCUUAGAAACCACAAGAGCAGAGGGUUUCAAGGAGGAAUCGAAGAGCUGGGUUCAAUCCUACUAAGAAGACACAUAAGAUGGGUGUUGUUCCUGUGUCUCUUGCUGAGUUACCAAUUCACUGAGGGCUGAGCUUUUGCUGUUGCGUCAUGCUGUGCCCAAGAUAAUAUCACCAUGCCCUGCUGUGACAAGAAACACCAGGGAGGCAGAUGUGGGAUGGUGCAAAGGGUCCCCAGAGAGACAUGGAUCCUUAUCCCUGCUGAUAGCACUGGCUACCUUUGGCUGAGAAUCUACUCCAUGCUUGGCACAGUGAUAGGCACAUGACAUGGUAUGUCUCAUUUAAUACUCACAGUGAGAGGGAAGACCCACUUGCCUCCUUCCCCGUCUCAAUCUCCACCUCCCUCCUCCCCUCCCAUCCAGAUGGGAAGAAGGGUGAAAAAGAAAUAAAAUACCAAACAGCUUGAAUCCAUGGUCAGGUGACUUGCUAACGCCACUGACCCGGCAAUAAAGAGGCCCAAAGACUGAGAAGAUGACUCUCUUUUUGGUUCCCAGCAUCUCUGCUAUCUAUAAGCCUUGAAAGAGUUGCAGAGAAUGUUAUCACUACCGGCUGGAGCCCGGCACUGGUUCAUGUCCCGCACAUUUGCACGACCCAGGCUCCCUCCUGGAAAUACGUCUGCCAACAUAUAAUCUACUGCCUUUGUUUUGUCUUUGUAAGCCCCCUCCCCUGCCUUUUCCCGCUCACGCUGCAUAUGAACUAGCAAAUCAAUGAAGCCAAAAGAUUGUAAGGUUGGACAUCCAGCCAAUGGGCAAUGAUAUAGUUUUGCCUCAGUUUCCCCUUUAGUGUUGUAAGCCUAUAAAAAGGGAAAGAAGCUGCUUCUUGGGGAGCUCGGUGAAUGAGGCUUUAGCCCCCUGAAGCUCCUGGCCAAAUAAAAAACCACUUCCUUCCUCAGUUCGGUGUUCGAGAGGUUCGUUUCCGGCCAUUCCUGCUUUAACAGCAACUCCUUAGAUGGAGAUAACACUGUGAGGUACUUGUAUGAUGGCCGAUUGAAGCGUUUCUCAAAGUCAGGGUGCUGGUCGAUGCCAGAGACCAAUAUGAACUUUAUUGUGGUGAUGGUUAAGGGAGCGGGCUUUGGAUUUGGACAGACCUGAAUUUAGUUCCUGGUGCUGCCACUAGCUGAAAACAUGGUGUCACCUCUCUGGAUCUAUUUCCUCACCAGUAAAAUGAUCUAGUUGGAUGAGGAGAUUACA